Long non-coding RNA from Acanthochromis polyacanthus (spiny chromis), 471 nucleotides. RefSeq lists it as uncharacterized. The transcript has 2 exons. The record is from RefSeq and is a predicted model, not a curated record. NCBI's taxonomy places the organism in Eukaryota, Metazoa, Chordata, Actinopteri, Pomacentridae.
CUCAGGUGAUUGGCCACGUAGCCUGGACUGAGCAGCUGACUCCACUUCGUCAUCAUCUCACCCUGACAGUAAAAAGCCGGUCGUCACAUCCACUCUUCGCCGGAUUGUUGUUCAAACUACUCACAUCUCAACUGCUCGGAACCCACGCACUACCAGCCUGAAUCACCGCCAAGAGGAUACCACCGCCAGGACCAAGCCCAAAACCGCCGCUUGACCCACAGCCAAGAGAAUACCACAGCCAAGACCAAACCCAGAGCCCCAGCUCAACCCACAGCCACAAGGAAACUACGGUCCGCAGUCGGAACCGCAGCCAAGAUAAUACCACAGCCAAGACCAGGUCCCGAAUCUCAGCCCGAUCCAUCGCCAAUAGAAAUCCCAUCACAGAACCCCAGUCCAAGACCCAGGCCUAGAGGUCCAGCCUUCCAUCCCCAGAAUCAUCUUUCCUCCCUCACAAUAAAACCUAUAAAUCAC